CGACCGGCGCACGGUGGAGUAACGCGUAUCCAACCCGCCCACCACUUGGGGAGUAACCUUGCGAAAGUAAAGACUAAUACCCAAUGAUAUCUCUAGAAGACAUCUGAAAGAGAUUAAAGAUUUAUCGGUGAUGGAUGGGGAUGCGUCUGAUUAGCUUGUUGGCGGGGUAACGGCCCACCAAGGCAACGAUCAGUAGGGGUUCUGAGAGGAAGGUCCCCCACAUUGGAACUGAGGCACGGUCCAA
Molecule: ribosomal RNA, 244 nt
Filed under: uncultured bacterium
Lineage: Bacteria
Description: partial 16S ribosomal RNA
Rfam family: Bacterial small subunit ribosomal RNA
Source: RNAcentral